UCUAAGGUAAUAAUACUAUCUAAUCCUAGGUUAAGUUCAGUCUUAAAGUAAGCCUAUGCUUAUAGGUUCUGCUAACUUCAUAGUGUCUACAGAAUGCGCUGCACCAUGACCUGUUUUUGUUGAGGUUUCAUAUAAUAAAACUUUUUAGUGGCUAAUUUUAACGGCGGUAUACAUACAUAUUUAUAGCAAGUUAGCCGUGUGGUGUCCGUUUAGGUAACAAGCUCCUCUAAUUAGGUAAAUUGCCGCCAAAUUCUUUGGGUUUGGUGGGUUUAAUAAUUACUACCCCCCAUUAGUUUCUACAGGAAUAAUAAGGUAUCUGGUCCUAGUUUAA
Molecule: ribosomal RNA, 331 nt
Filed under: Marocolana delamarei
Lineage: Eukaryota; Metazoa; Arthropoda; Malacostraca; Isopoda; Cirolanidae
Description: partial 12S ribosomal RNA
Source: RNAcentral